GCGCAAAAGCGAUGGCGUAUGCGUUAAUGCAGAUUGCACUGGCCGAACAGCGCGAUUGUUACGUGAUCAUUUU
RNAcentral lists this transfer RNA (73 nucleotides) under Vibrio parahaemolyticus. RNAcentral's name for it is "tRNA-Gly". Lineage: Bacteria; Pseudomonadati; Pseudomonadota; Gammaproteobacteria; Vibrionales; Vibrionaceae. The record is from RNAcentral.